GGCUUUUUGAAUAUAAUUUAAGGUCGGGCCUGCCCAAUGAUUAAAUUAAAUGGCCGCGGUAUAUUGACCGUGCAAAGGUAGCAUAAUCAUUAGUUUUUUAAUUGAAAGCUUGUAUGAAAGGUUUAAUGAGAAAAAUACUGUCUCUAUUUAAAUUUGUUAAAAUUUUAUUUUUAAGUAAAAAAGCUUAAAUAUGUAUUGAAGACGAGAAGACCCUAUAGAGUUUUAUAUUUUGUUUAGCAAAUAAUUAUUUAGAAUUUUAAAGAUUUGUUAAACAAAGUAUUUGAUUGGGGUGAUUAAAAAAUUAAUAAAACUUUUUUUGUAUUUUUACAUUGAUAAGUGAGUAAUUGAUCCUUUGUUUAAGAUUAGAAGAUAAAAUUACCUUAGGGAUAACAGCGUAAUUUUUUUUAGAGUUCUUAUCGAAAAGAAAGAUUGCGACCUCGAUGUUGGAUUAAAAUUAAUUAUUGGUGUAGAGGCUAAUAAAUUAGGUCUGUUCGACCUUUAAAUUUUUACAUGAUCUGAGUUUAAACCGGUGUAAG
This 536-nucleotide ribosomal RNA is filed under the name Acalles globulipennis. Its description in RNAcentral is "partial 16S ribosomal RNA". It matches the Rfam family "Bacterial large subunit ribosomal RNA", at positions 1819 to 2625 of the family's 2925-position model. Lineage: Eukaryota; Metazoa; Arthropoda; Insecta; Coleoptera; Curculionidae. The record is from RNAcentral.